RNAcentral lists this ribosomal RNA (648 nucleotides) under fungal endophyte. RNAcentral describes it as "eukaryotic LSU rRNA". The stretch from base 183 to 336 matches the Rfam family "5.8S ribosomal RNA". The record is from RNAcentral. Lineage: Eukaryota; Fungi.
UCAUUAAAGAGUUCUAUAACUCCCAAACCCAUGUGAACAUACCUAACGUUGCCUCGGCAGGUCGCACCUACCUUGUAGCACCCUACCCUGUAGGGCCUACCCGGGAGGUGCGGGUAAGCCUGCCGGCGGCCCACCAAACUCUGUUUGAUAUUGAAUUCUGAACCUAUAACUAAAUAAGUUAAAACUUUCAACAACGGAUCUCUUGGUUCUGGCAUCGAUGAAGAACGCAGCGAAAUGCGAUAAGUAAUGUGAAUUGCAGAAUUCAGUGAAUCAUCGAAUCUUUGAACGCAUAUUGCGCCCAUUAGUAUUCUAGUGGGCAGGACCGUUCGAGCGUCAUUUCAACCCUUAAGCCUUCGUUGCUUAGUGUUGGGAGCCUACGGCAACGUAGCUCCUCAAAGUUAGUGGCGGAGUUGGUUCACACUCUAGACGUAGUAAUUUUUUAUCUCGCCUAUUAGUUGGACUAAUCCCCUGCCGUAAAACCCCUAAUUUAUCAAGGUUGACCUCGAAUCGGUUCAGACAAACUCGCUAAAUUGAAGCAUCUUAGUCAGCGAAGGAAAAGAAACCAACAGGGAUUGCCCUAGUAACGGCGAGUGAAGCGGCAACAGCUCAAAUUUGAAAUCUGGCCCUCGGGUCCGAGUUGUAAUUUGU